UAGAGUUUGAUUAUGGCUCAGAAACUCAAAUGAAUUGACGGGGGUAGAGUUUGAUCAUGGCUCAGAAACUCAAAUGAAUUGACGGGGCGGGGAGAGUUUGAUUCUGGCUCAGAAACUCAAAUGAAUUGACGGGGCUCAAACUCAAAUGAAUUGACGGGGCCCCGAGAGUUUGAUUAUGGCUCAGAAACUCAAAUGAAUUGACGGGGGGGGGGGAGAGUUUGAUCCUGGCUCAGAAACUCAAAUGAAUUGACGGGGGAGAGUUUGAUUAUGGCUCAGAAACUCAAAUGAAUUGACGGGGCGGGGAGAGUUUGAUUCUGGCUCAGAAACUCAAAUGAAUUGACGGGGAGAGUUUGAUCCUGGCUCAGAAACUCAAAUGAAUUGACGGGGGUAGAGUUUGAUUCUGGCUCAGGAUAAACUCAAAUGAAUUGACGGGG
Molecule: ribosomal RNA, 434 nt
Filed under: uncultured Gammaproteobacteria bacterium
Lineage: Bacteria; Pseudomonadati; Pseudomonadota; Gammaproteobacteria
Description: partial 16S ribosomal RNA
Source: RNAcentral